UACGGAGGGGACUAGCGUUGUUCGGAAUUACUGGGCGUAAAGCGCACGUAGGCGGAUAUUUAAGUCAGGGGUGAAAUCCCGGGGCUCAACCCCGGAACUGCCUUUGAUACUGGGUAUCUGGAGGUCGAGAGAGGCGAGUGGAAUUCCGAGUGUAGAGGUGAAAUUCGUAGAUAUUCGGAGGAACACCAGUGGCGAAGGCGGCUCGCUGGCUCGAUACUGACGCUGAGGUGCGAAAGCGUGGGGAGCAAACAGG
Molecule: ribosomal RNA, 253 nt
Filed under: uncultured bacterium
Lineage: Bacteria
Description: partial 16S ribosomal RNA
Rfam family: Bacterial small subunit ribosomal RNA
Source: RNAcentral